UACAGGUACAGUGAUAUUAUAUAUAGUGUUGUGUUUAAUCACUCUGUCUGUUACAGGUACAGUGAUAUUAUAUAUAGUGUUGAUGUGUUUAAUCACUCUGUCUGUUACAGGUACAGUGAUAUUAUAUAUAGUAUUGAUCUGUUUAAUCACUCUGUCUGUUACAGGUACAAUAAACAUUGUCUAUAAUCCUAAUCUGUUUAAGUGGUUCUGGAAAAUUGUCUUGAUUUGUACAGAAAUAAUAUAAUUAAUAUGAAUGUAUGGUAUAAUAUGAAUGUCUGAAUUGAUGAUUUGAGAACGUCCACUCCUGCCUCAUUUGAA
Long non-coding RNA from Oncorhynchus keta (chum salmon), 318 nucleotides. RefSeq lists it as uncharacterized. The record is from RefSeq and is a predicted model, not a curated record. The transcript has 3 exons. Lineage: Eukaryota; Metazoa; Chordata; Actinopteri; Salmoniformes; Salmonidae.